Molecule: long non-coding RNA, 474 nt
Filed under: Callithrix jacchus (white-tufted-ear marmoset)
Lineage: Eukaryota; Metazoa; Chordata; Mammalia; Primates; Cebidae
Description: lncRNA (ENSCJAG00000083267.1)
Source: RNAcentral
GAAAAAAAAGAAGCAAAUGAUACCAAGACAAGCUACUAAGAGAGAUCUAAUCAGCAGAUGUGUACGGAUGAAAAUACAGAUUGAAAAGAAGGCUUAGGCCAACCCCAAAGAAGAAGUGACCAAGGAGGAGUUUAAAGUGAAUGGAUGGUCUCGGCUCCUGGACUCACUGCUUCACAACCCAUCUACCCUUGGACGAGUUAUCUGGCUUCAAAUAUUAUGCAAGGGCAAACACCUGCUGAUGCAGCAACUGCUGAUGCUCGUUGUCCCCAUGGCAUGAGGGCCUCAGGGCAGCCUGCCUGGAGAUGGUAUGUUGUGAUGUAUUCUCAGUGCCUGUGCCCACCUUGGAACUCUGUUCUUGCUGUUCAUGCCACAUGUGAUACUGUGGGCCAAGAUCUUUGCACGGGUACCUCAAAUAUCAUCUCAGAGGUGCUUCCCUUGAAAACUCGGUGCUAUUUCUAUAGUUGCUUUGUUUGA